This 450-nucleotide ribosomal RNA is filed under the name uncultured bacterium. RNAcentral's name for it is "bacterial SSU rRNA". It matches the Rfam family "Bacterial small subunit ribosomal RNA", at positions 329 to 794 of the family's 1533-position model. The record is from RNAcentral.
AUCCAGACUCCUACGGGAGGCAGCAGUGGGGGAUAUUGCACAAUGGGGGGAACCCUGAUGCAGCGACGCCGCGUGGGUGAAGGAGUGCUUCGGCAUGUAAAGCCCUAUCGGCAGGGAAGAAGCAAGACGGUACCUGACUAAGAAGCCCCGGCUAACUACGUGCCAGCAGCCGCGGUAAUACGUAGGGGGCGAGCGUUAUCCGGAUUCACUGGGUGUAAAGGGAGCGUAGACGGCCAUGCAAGCCAGGGGUGAAAGCCCGGGGCUCAACCCCGGGACUGCAUUUGAAACUGUCAGGCUGGAGUGCAGGAGAGGUAAGUGGAAUUCCUAGUGUAGCGGUGAAAUGCGUAGAUAUUAGGAAGAACACCGGUGGCGAAGGCGACUUUCUGGACUGUAACUGACGUUGAGGCACGAAAGUGUGGGGAGCAACCAGGAUUAGAUACCCCCGUACAA